Ctenopharyngodon idella (grass carp) is the source of this 742-nucleotide long non-coding RNA. RefSeq lists it as uncharacterized. The transcript is spliced from 4 exons. NCBI's taxonomy places the organism in Eukaryota, Metazoa, Chordata, Actinopteri, Cypriniformes, Xenocyprididae. The record is from RefSeq and is a predicted model, not a curated record.
CUGACCUGUAACCCAGUCCUAAUUAUCAUUUGAAUGACAACAUGCUCUAGAUCAAUAGUGUUCAGUCACAGUUUGAAGGCAGAAGAUAAGAACUCACCUUGUGGAGUUGCAUGGGGUGGGGGAAAAGAUGCUAAUGUAUUUAUCUGAGAAUACAUGCCAACUAACCACUGGAUUUUGUGGAUAAUGGUGUGGAUCAUUUUUAUUAACUGAUUCACUGAAGAUAUUAAGUUUACUAGACACUGCAAGUAUGCAAUAUAUUUUGUUGCUCAAAUAUGCCACAAAGGUUUAGUGUUUUUGUACACCGUACACAAGUGAAAAUUAAGUCUCAUAUCUGUUCCUUUUUUUUUUUUUUUUUUUUUUUACAAACAUUGUCACAAUCAAUUGUAGUUGUAUUUAGCAGAUCUAUGUAAAGUUCUUCAAAAAAGUUCUAUAAGAAGAAAAUAACAGCUUACUGGUUAAAUAAUUACAGAAUUUUUAUUUUUGGGUGAACUGUUACGUGUCUACAGGGAGAAAAGAUGCUCAAGACUUUUGAACAUGGUGAGAUAGAAAUGGUGCUCUGCUCGAGGAUCUGCGGACUUCCCAGUCCUGAACAAUGAUGUAACUGACUCUUACAACGUUACUUCAUAUUAUACUGGAAAUCUCACAGCAGUUGAUGGCUUGCAUCAGGCCACAUCCAGUUUCAGAAAUUGGACGACAACGUCACUGAUGGCAAGAUGAUGUGGGUUCUCUCAUGACAUCCAAA